GCGGAGUGAGUCGGGGUUGGGUCGGCGAGAGCGACCGGGUGGGUGUUUGUCCCCCUCACCCGGUUGCGCGGCCUCGGAAUGUCCCCGGUUGCGCGGCUGCAGUGUCCCCGAGCUGUGGUGGGGGAGUCCGUGUGGUGACGGCCGUCGCCCGCCGAGGACGCUGAAGGUGAAGGGGGUGGCAGCCGAGCUGGAAAGUCCGAACAACUUGGGAGACUCACUGAAGAGCAAGUGGAUCAAUCACAAAGAAUGCUGUGCCACAGACCGGUCUGGUUUUCCCCAUCCUCAUAACAAGAAUAAGACUUCCCCAGCGGUGCAGAUGUGGAUGGUCAAGCUCAUGAUGAACUGAAGCAUUUGAGUGCCUCAGAGGAAGUGAUGAUGAUGAUGUGCUGUGUGUCCAUUUUCACGAUCUACUUGCCACUUCUAACACAGGAGUUGAGAAUUGUCACUGGAAGAUUGUUCCUGAACUUGAUCAACUAAAGGAUUAAGAUCAUUUCCUGGCAUUCAAGGAGAAACUGGUCCUCUUGCUUGCUCUUAAGCUGCAAGAUGUGGCUUGGCUUCUCUUCCAGCAAGCAAAAACCUGUCCUUCACUUCCAUGGAGCUGAACGAACAAAGAUCUCUCGACUUCCUGUUUCAACCAUCUCGCCUGAAUUUUGAUCCACCAGUUGAAUUCUCCCCCAGAAGUACCCCACUGUUUUAUCAAAACUCAAAAGCAGAGUAACAGCAAUCAGCAUUUCUUCACCUGAAGAAAUGUCUUCUGUGCCAGCUCUUCAUCCAGCUUUCUGCAUUCUAGUUUAAAAUGGUAAAUACUUGUAAUCAGAUGCGGGUGGAAGCUGGUGUUCUUCACUGAUAUCUCCUUCUUCAUUUUAGGAAGGUUAAGUACUUCACUGUGUCAUAUUGGAGUUCCUAGCAGAUAAAGUGUCUUCAUGCAUUGCUAUGUCAAACUGUCUUGACGUGUGUCAAAAGUUGCAGCAGGAAAACCAGAACAUAUUUUCUUGCUCAGGCAUGAGGAGGAAGCUUAGCAAACAACUUCCCAUACAGGUAUUUUCAAGUCAAAGACCCAGGCUUGACUCUCUGGAUAGGUAUCUUGGUGUCAACUCACAUAAAGCAGCUAAUGCCCAGGAACAAAUGCAGAAUCACCUUGUCUAUAGUGUGUAAAUGCAUCACCCCAGUCUGUGAUCAAAGUGUAUAUUUGCAUGUGUAAACCUAUGUAAGUGCUGGAGAUGAAGAGCUUUCACCAGAAGGAGAAAUUACUCUGCACCAUUUCAUUUUUAGUGAAGAAAAAUGAAGCUUUAGAGGCCUCUGGGGUAAUGGGAUAAUGAUUAGGUUUAUGUUAAAUCAUUCCCUUCCUCUGGCUUUUUAUGAAUCCUUAGCAGCAAAAGGAACAAAAACCUUCUGCAGUAGGAGAUGAGGCAGAACUUCUUUCUUUAAUAAAAGAAAUUAUAUUCUGGUGGGAUGGAAGAGCCCAGACAUGCAAAGUUGCAGUUUACCCACUCAGUUUCCUUGGCACACCUUUCCAUACUGCUGAUGGAAUCAGCUUUUUGAUUCUUUUGUGACUGAGAACUGAGAUGACCUGUGUGUUUCCAUCACCUAAGCAGGCCCAAGAGAGUGGACUGUUAGCCACAUAAGAAGGGCGAGUUGAGACAGAGCAGAAAUACUGAAGAUGAGCCUUCUUCUGGUUCCUCUUCCUUCCCUUACCAAGAUGCAAUCUGUUGUUCUUAUGUUUACACAAGGUCCUUUGUCUCCAUCAUCUGUGACUAUAUAGGAUGUUUCCUGUCGUUCUGAGGUGGGAGUGUAUUUUGUUUAGGUGCUCCCUGCUAUGGCAUUGUAUAUGGCAAGUAAGAUUUCUUGGCAGAAAAAAAACCCCCAGAGCUGGGAUACAUGUUCUGUUCCACUUUGAAUCUGGAGCUCUUCUUAGUGCACCUUAUUCCAAGCUUGUGAUCUGGGAAAUGUGACUCACUAGCUUAAAAGAAUAUUUUCAAAUCUGGUAUCAAGUAAAGGGAUAUAGGUUCUCUUAAUGGGUUUGGGGAGAUAGUAGCAUGGUUUGGGGAGUGGUUUUAGAUUGCUUGUUUUGUUCUGUUUUUCUUUUCCUUUUAGAGACUGCUGGAGAGAGCCAGGCAGCCUGAAAAUGGCUGAAAAAGAUAACAGUUGAAAUCCUUCUUAAAUCCUAAUGGCAUAUUGCAAGGGCAGCAUUCUGCUAUUUAAAAUGUGGUGACCUUUUAUGGGACCAAGUUCCAUAGCAGAGAAAGGACAAGGGUUGGUGGUGAUCCUAAUCCUCACAGUUAAGUCUGUGUUUAGGCUUUCAUUGCAACAGUAAGAUUUAAUGACAGCUUUACCCAAUUUUUUGUUUCCACAAGAAAAGAUCAGAUGUGUAAGCUAAAGAGUGGUGGGCAAGACACUGCCUAUCAAAACAAUGCCAGCUGUCAUGAGCAGAGAGGUCCACUGAAAUUGUGUGUGAUAAGAGCGGCAUUGCUCUUGAUGAGGCAACCACCAGCUUGGCCUGACUUCUUUUAAGAACAUGAGAGUUCUUUGCUGAAUGUGGUCUGAAUUUUCUGGCAUUGCAGGCAGCUGGGAAAAGCACACUUCCUUUUAGGGCCUCCUUAUGUGGAAACCAAUGGCAUUUAAUAUGGAUGUCUGUGGGAGCAGGAUCCAUCUCUGUGAUGGAAAAUACCGGCAGUGUCAUAGGCUUGUAUGUGGUGGGGAGAUAUCUGGUAUAAGAAGCAUCUGAUUUUAGAUCUGGAAGUUUCCUUUUCUUCCUUCUGCCCAGACUUCUUCUGGAAGUUAAGGCUAGCAGUUGUUUCUUGCAUAGCUUGAUGUCAAGAGUACUCGGGGGACAGAAAGGUGGUUUUGGCUUCUGUGAACAUGUGAAAAAGUUAAGCAUUUGUCUGACUAGAGAGCAGACACUUUAAGGUCUUUGAUCUCUUUUUCCAUAGGAGUAAUCCUCAGCAUUUUCUAAUCCUGCAUUGUAACACAAACAAACAUAGGAUUGCUGAUUUUUUUUCCAUUUCCUUUUUUUUCACUCCUGUCCAUGACAAAGUAACCACACUUAGUUUUCAGGUCUAAUUUUAGAACAUAGUAUUUUUAGCAGUGCUAAGGAUCUAGUCACAUAGUGCAUGCCCAGAAGACACC
This is a long non-coding RNA of Dryobates pubescens (Downy woodpecker), 3126 nucleotides long. RefSeq lists it as uncharacterized. The record is from RefSeq and is a predicted model, not a curated record. The transcript is spliced from 4 exons. NCBI's taxonomy places the organism in Eukaryota, Metazoa, Chordata, Aves, Piciformes, Picidae.